Molecule: ribosomal RNA, 3443 nt
Filed under: Capsicum annuum
Lineage: Eukaryota; Viridiplantae; Streptophyta; Magnoliopsida; Solanales; Solanaceae
Description: eukaryotic LSU rRNA
Rfam family: Eukaryotic large subunit ribosomal RNA (bases 391-3443)
Source: RNAcentral
AAAAUGACUCUCGGGAAAAGAUAUCUCGGCUCUCGCAUCGAUGAAUAACGUAGCAAAAUAUGAUACUUGGUGUGAAAUGCAGAAUCCCAUGAACCAUAGAGUAUUUAAACGAAAGUUGUGCCCGAAGCCAUUAGGCCGAGGGCACGUCUUCCUGGGCGUCAUGCAUCGCAUUGCCCCUUCACAUCGUGCCUCAAUCAUGGGGUGCGCUGUUGUUGUGGGGCAGAUACUGUCCUCCCAUGUACCUCGAGCUCACGGUUGGCCUAAAUGCAAGUCCACAUCUAUGGACAUCGCGGCAAGUGGUGGUUGUAUCUCAACUCUCUUUGUUGUCGUGGCUAUAGCCCGUCAUGCGUCCGGACUCCAGGACCCUUUCACUCUUAGGCACUCCGACCGCGACCCCAGGUCAGGCGGGAUUACCCGCUGAGUGUAAGCAUAUUAAUAAGCAGAGGAAAAAAACUUACAAGGAUUCCCUUAGUAACAGCGAGCAACCCGGAAACACCCCAGCCUUAGAAUUGGGCGGCUCCAUCUUUCGAAUUAUAGUUUGGAGAAGCAUCCUUAGUAGCGGACCAGGCCCAAGUCCCUUGGAAGGGGCCGCCAGAGAGGAUGAGAGCCCCAUUAUGCCCGGACCCUGUCGCACCACGAUGCAUUGUCUAUGAGUCGGGUUGUUUGGAAAUGCAACCCAAAUCGGGUGGUGAAUUCCAUCCAAGGCUAAAUACGAGUGACAGACCGAUAGCGAACAAGUACCACGAGGGAAAGAUGAAAAGGACUUUGAAAAGAGAGUCAAUGACUGCUUGAAAUGGUCGGGAGGGAAGCGGAUGAGGGCUGGCGAUACGCCCUGCUCUCUCGAUACGCUCGUGGAAUGCCAUCUCCUCGAUUAUGGCAGUCAGCGCGCGCCUCCGGCGUGCUUCGGCAUCUGUACGCUACAGACCUGGCCUGUGGGCUCCCCAUUCAUCCCUUCUUGAAAAACAGACCAAAGAGUCUGACAUGUCUACGAGUCAACGGGUAAUUAAACCCGUAUGGCGUAAGGAAGCUGAUUAGGGGUAUUCCCUCGAGGGGUGCACCGCCGAUCGACCUUGAUCUUCUGAGAAGGGUUCGAGUGUGAGCAUACCUGUCGGGACUCGAAAGAUAGUGAUCUAUGCCUGAGCAGGGCGAAGCCAGAGGAAAAUCAUGUAGAGGCCCGCAGUGAUACUGAUAUACAAAUCGUUCAUUUGACUUGAGUGUAGGUCCCGCGGCUGCUUUUUCGAGCCGUGCCAUGAAAUCAAGAGCCCCAAGUGGGCAAUUUUUUGUAAGUAGAACUGGCGAUGCGAGAUAAACCGGCAGCUGGGUUACGGUGCCAAACUGUGUGCUAACCUAGAUCCCACAAAGGGUGUUGGUCGAUUAAGACAGCAGGACGGUGGUAAUGGAUGUCAUAAUCCGCUAAGAAGUGUGUAACAACUCACCUACCGAAUAAACUAGCCUCGAAAAUGGAUGGCACUUAAACACGCGACCUACACCCGACUGUCGGGGAAAGUUCCAGGCCCCGAUAAGUAAGAGAGCGCGGCUAUCGCUGCAAAACCAAGGGCGCGAGCCCGGUCAGAGUGGCCGUCAGUGCAGAUAUUGGUGGUAGUAGCAAAUAUUCAAAUGAGAACAUUGAAGGCCAAAGAGGGGAAAGGUUCCACGUGAACGGCACUUGCACAUAGAUUACUCGAUCCUAAGGGUCGGGGGAACCCCGAUAGAUCACGCAUUUUGUGCGUACUCCGAAAGGGAAUUGGGUUAAAUUUCCUGGACCGAGAUGUGGUAGUCGACGGUAAUGUUAGGAUGUCUGGAGACGUCGGCGGGAGCCUCGGGAAGAUUUAUCUUUUCUAUUUAACAGCCUGCCCACCCUAAAAUCGUCUCAGUCAGAGGUAAGGUCCAGCGGCUAAAUGAGCAUCGCACGUCUCAUUGUAUCCAGUGCACUAUCGGUCGCCGUCCACGCCCAAUCGUACUCAUAACCACAUCAGGUCUCCAAAGGGAACAGCCUCUGGUCGAUGGAACAAAGUAGGCAAGGAAAGUCAGAAAAAUGGAUCUGUCACUUCUGGAAAAGGAUUGGCACUGAGGGCUGGGCACGGGGGUCCCAGUCCCGAACCCGUUGGCUGUCGGUGGACUACUCGAGCUGCACCUGCAACGAUAGCGGGUCGCCGCAUGUCGAUUGGGGGACGGACUGGGAUCGGUUCCUUCGGGGGCCUUCCCCGCGCGUCGAACAGCCAACUCAGAAUUUGUACGGACAAGGGGAAUCUGACUGUUUAAUUAAAACAAAGCAUUGCGAUGGUCCCAACGGAUGUUCACGCAAUGUGAUUUCUGCCCAGUGCUCUGAAUGUCAAAGUGAAGAAAUUCAACCAAGCGCGGGUAAACGGCGGGAGUAACUAUGACUCUCUUAAGGUAUCCAGAUGCCUCGUCAUCUAAUUAGUGACGCACAUGAAUAGAUUAACGAGAUUCCCACUAUCCCUGUCUACUAUCCUACGAAACCACAGCCAAGGGUACGGGCUUGGCAGAAUCAGCGGGGAAAGAAGACCCUCUUGAGCUUGACUCUACUCCGACUUUGUGAAAUGACUUGAGAGGUAUAGUAUAAGUGAGAGACGAAAGGUAAAACUGAAAUACCACUACUUUUAACGUUAUUUUACUUAUUCUAUGACAUUGUCAGUUGGGGAGUUUGGCUGGGGCGGGACAUCUUUUAAAAGAUAACGCAGGUGUCCUAAGAUGAGCUCAACGAGAACAAAAAAUAUCGUGUGGAACAGAGGGGUAAAAGCUCAUUUGAUUCUGAUUUCUAGUACGAAUACGAACCAUAAAAGCGUGGCCUAACGAUCCUUUAGAACUUUGGAAUUUGAAACUAGAGGUGUUAGAAAAGUGUUAGCACAGGGAUAACUGGCCUGUUGCAGCCAAGCGUUCAUUGCAACGUUGCUUUUUCAUCCUUCGAUGUCGGCUCUUCCUAUUAUUGUGAAGCAGAAUUCACCAAUUAUUGGAAUGUUCACCCAUCAAUAGGGAAUGUGAGAUGGGUUUAGACCAUCGUGAGAUAAGUUAGUUUUACCCUACUUAUGACAGUAUCGCAGUAGUAAUUUAACCUAGUACGAGAAGAAACGUUGAUUCAAACAAUUUGUCGUUACGCUUGGUUAAAAAGCCAGUGGCGCAAAGCUACCGUGUGCUGGAUUAUGACUGAACGCCUCAAAGUUAGAAUCCGGGCUAGAAGCGAUGCAUGCGCCCACUGUCCGUUUGCCGACCCGCAGUAGGGGCCUCGGCCCCCAAGGGCACGUGUCGUUUGCCAUGCCACUGUGGCAAAAGAGUCACGAUGGCCGCCUUGAAGUAUAAUUUCCAUCUAACGGUGGGUAGAAUCCUUUGCAGACAACUUAAAUAUGUGACGGGGUAUUGUAAGUGGAAUAGUGGCCUUGCUGCCAUGAUCCACUGAGAUUCAUUCCUUAUUCGCUCUGGUUCAU